UACACUCCUGCGGGAGGCAGCAGUGGGGAAUUUUGGACAAUGGGCGAAAGCCUGAUCCAGCAAUGCCGCGUGAGUGAAGAAGGCCUUCGGGUUGUAAAGCUCUUUUGUCAGGGAAGAAACGGUGAAAGCUAAUAUCUUUUGCUAAUGACGGUACCUGAAGAAUAAGCACCGGCUAACUACGUGCCAGCAGCCGCGGUAAUACGUAGGGUGCAAGCGUUAAUCGGAAUUACUGGGCGAAAAGCGUGCGCAGGCGGUUUUGUAAGUCUGAUGUGAAAUCCCCGGGCUCAACCUGGGAAUUGCAUUGGAGACUGCAAGGCUAGAAUCUAGCAGAGGGGGGUAGAAUUCCACGUGUAGCAGUGAAAUGCGUAGAUAUGUGGAGGAACACCGAUGGCGAAGGCAGCCCCCUGGGUCAAGAUUGACGCUCAUGCACGAAAGCGUGGGGAGCAAACAGGAUUAGAUACCCGAGUAGUCCCAUGAU
This 478-nucleotide ribosomal RNA is filed under the name uncultured organism. Its description in RNAcentral is "partial 16S ribosomal RNA". It matches the Rfam family "Bacterial small subunit ribosomal RNA", at positions 332 to 801 of the family's 1533-position model. The record is from RNAcentral.